Molecule: ribosomal RNA, 357 nt
Filed under: Eukaryota sp.
Lineage: Eukaryota
Description: SSU rRNA
Rfam family: Eukaryotic small subunit ribosomal RNA
Source: RNAcentral
ACGUUAACGAACGAGACCUCGGCCUGCUAAAUAGUUUGCUAUAGUCUUCGGACUAUAGAAAAACUUCUUAGAGGGACUAUCGGUUUCUAAGCCGAUGGAAGUUCGAGGCAAUAACAGGUCUGUGAUGCCCUUAGAUGUUCUGGGCCGCACGCGCGCUACACUGACGCAUUCAUCGAGUUUACAACCUUGACCGAGAGGUCUGGGUAAUCUUCUCAAAAUGCGUCGUGCUGGGGAUAGAUUAUUGUAAUUUUUAAUCUUUAACGAGGAAUUCCUAGUAAACGCAAGUCAUUAGCUUGCAUUGAUUACGUCCCUGCCCUUUGUACACACCGCCCGUCGCUAAUACCGAUUGAAUGGAUA